Molecule: ribosomal RNA, 1072 nt
Filed under: Sodalis endosymbiont of Porphyrophora polonica
Lineage: Bacteria; Pseudomonadati; Pseudomonadota; Gammaproteobacteria; Enterobacterales; Bruguierivoracaceae
Description: bacterial SSU rRNA
Source: RNAcentral
CAGCAAGAUAGAGUUUGAUCCUGGCUCAGAUUGAACGCUGGCGGCAGGCCUAACACAUGCAAGUCGAGCGGCAGCGGGAAGAAGCUUGCUUCUUUGCCGGCGAGCGGCGGACGGGUGAGUAAUGUCUGGGGAUCUGCCCGAUGGAGGGGGAUAACUACUGGAAACGGUAGCUAAUACCGCAUAACGUCGCAAGACCAAAGUGGGGGACCUUCGGGCCUCACACCAUCGGAUGAACCCAGAUGGGAUUAGCUAGUAGGUGGGGUAAUGGCCCACCUAGGCGACGAUCCCUAGCUGGUCUGAGAGGAUGACCAGCCACACUGGAACUGAGACACGGUCAGACUCCUACGGGAGGCAGCAGUGGGGAAUAUUGCACAAUGGGGGAAACCCUGAUGCAGCCAUGCCGCGUGUGUGAAGAAGGCCUUCGGGUUGUAAAGCACUUUCAGCGGGGAGGAAGGCGAUGGCGUUAAUAGCGCCAUCGAUUGACGUUACCCGCAGAUGAAGCACCGGCUAACUCCGUGCCAGCAGCCGCGGUAAUACGGAGGGUGCGAGCGUUAAUCGGAAUUACUGGGCGUAAAGCGUACGCAGGCGGUCUGUUAAGUCAGAUGUGAAAUCCCCGGGCUCAACCUGGGAACUGCAUUUGAAACUGGCAGGCUAGAGUCUCGUAGAGGGGGGUAGAAUUCCAGGUGUAGCGGUGAAAUGCGUAGAGAUCUGGAGGAAUACCGGUGGCGAAGGCGGUCCCCUGGACGAAGACUGACGCUCAGGUACGAAAGCGUGGGGAGCAAACAGGAUUAGAUACCCUGGUAGUCCACGCUGUAAACGAUGUCGAUUUGAAGGUUGUGGCCUUGAGCCGUGGCUUUCGGAGCUAACGCGUUAAAUCGACCGCCUGGGGAGUACGGCCGCAAGGUUAAAACUCAAAUGAAUUGACGGGGGCCCGCACAAGCGGUGGAGCAUGUGGUUUAAUUCGAUGCAACGCGAAGAACCUUACCUACUCUUGACAUCCAGAGAACUUGGCAGAGAUGCCUUGGUGCCUUCGGGAGCUCUGAGACAGGKGCUGCAUGGCUGUCGUCAGCUC